This 465-nucleotide ribosomal RNA is filed under the name Vreelandella stevensii. Its description in RNAcentral is "partial 16S ribosomal RNA". It matches the Rfam family "Bacterial small subunit ribosomal RNA", at positions 338 to 795 of the family's 1533-position model. Lineage: Bacteria; Pseudomonadati; Pseudomonadota; Gammaproteobacteria; Oceanospirillales; Halomonadaceae. The record is from RNAcentral.
CCUACGGGGUGCAGCAGUGGGGAAUAUUGGACAAUAGGCGAAAGCCUGAUCCAGCCAUGCCGCGUGUGUGAAGAAGGCCUUCGGGUUGUAAAGCACUUUCAGUGGGGAAGAAAGCCUUGGGGCUAAUACCCUCGAGGAAGGACAUCACCCACAGAAGAAGCACCGGCUAACUCCGUGCCAGCAGCCGCGGUAAUACGGAGGGUGCGAGCGUUAAUCGGAAUUACUGGGCGUAAAGCGCGCGUAGGCGGUCUGAUAAGCCGGUUGUGAAAGCCCCGGGCUCAACCUGGGAACGGCAUCCGGAACUGUCAGGCUAGAGGGCAGGAGAGGAAGGUAGAAUUCCCGGUGUAGCGGUGAAAUGCGUAGAGAUCGGGAGGAAUACCAGUGGCGAAGGCGGCCUUCUGGACUGACACUGACGCUGAGGUGCGAAAGCGUGGGUAGCAAACAGGAUUAGAUACCCCAGUAGUC